GGAGAGCGGGAGCAGGCGUGACACCCACUCCCUUUUCCCAGGAUAAAUAAUUGCGAGAAACUAGUCAAUUAUCAUAAAUUAGGUGAGGUGAAAUGAUACUGUUAAAUGAUAUGGAAUGUCUAAAUCUGUCUUCACACAGCAUUCUCUACUCUGCUAUGAGCGUUGGUUAUCGACUACGAACAAUCAGAGAAGGGGCAUAAUAGUGUUGUUCUGGGACCAUAACGUGAGUCUGACUGGGGAAGAGGGGUCUCCUCAAGGGACCCGCGUGUGUAUGUGUGAGGGGCGGGGGAAUCCGAGGUCUACCAACCAGGACAAGACAUUGGCCAAUCAGAAUCCACCCAUCCCUGCACAAUUGGCACUCCUCUCGAACGGUUACAGCUGUAUGUGCAUUCACAUAGCAAGCCUACUCUUCAGCUGGGCUGGAGGUUAGGAUGACUGGUUUUAUUGUGUGUGUUUGUUGUGUAGGUGAUUGUAUGCAGGUCUGUUGGAGAUUCUGGAGUGCCUGAGCCCCUUACUACCCAGAGAGUGGAACACCUGGUUCUCUGUCUUGUUCAACCACAUGAUAUGCUUACACUUUACAACAACUCUCAUGAAUAGGCCAUUAAAAAUGGUUUAUAAAUUAAUUUGUUAGAAAUGCUUAGGAUGUUUUGUUUAGAAGUGCUUCAUUAAUGUUAACAAAUAAGAAAAUAAAGUAUUAACAGCAUGUACACUGUUUAUGAAUAUUAAUGUUUAUACAUGACAAUUUUUUUAUUUUUUUAUUAUACUGAAUGAUUUUUACAGCUGAUUCUUUGUUUUCACUACAGGUGUAGGAAGAACAACAAACCAAAUAACUUCUUUGGCAUGGAGGACUGUGUUAUGGUCACCCAAAGGUAAUCAGAUCCAUUGACGAGCUGGAACAGUGUAGGGUGCAUUAUGAAAAUCAACUGGGUCUGUGAGAACCAGACGCACAAUCAACUGGGUCUGUGAGAACCAGACCCACAUCCAUGUUGAACACUAGUUGUAAUUGUUAUGGCUCCAUGGUUAAAGAAGGGGCAGUCUGGAAUUGUCCAAGUGGCAGGGUGACUGGUCGCUUUGCUGUUUGAAUCCCAGAUUGACUCUUUAUUAAGUCUAUCUGAAGGAGUUGUGUUGAAUAUCCAUGUGAGGUUUUAAGCAGUUUUAGUAUUUAUUUGUAAUAACUGACAACAUUAUAUCAGAAAUUAUUAUGGACUCCAGUGCACUAAAUAUACAGUAGAAAUGAUCAGGUGUAGUAUUAGUAGUGAAGUAUACAUGCAUACCAUUAUGUUUAUUUAACUGAGCAAGUCCGUUAAAGAACAAAUUCUUAUUUACAAUGACAGUCUAGGUAACAGUGGGUUAACUGCCUUGUUCAGGGGCAAAACGACAGAUGUUUACCAUGUCAGCUCAAGGAUUCAAUCCAGCAACCUUUCGGUUAUUGGCCCAACGCUCUAACCACUAGGCUACAUGCCGCCCCAUGUAAUGUAUUGUAGUGAAUUUGGGGCCUAGUCCCUCAUCCAGCGACUGUCAACACAACACCUCAGUCGUUACACCAAGAGAUAUGAAACCCUUGAUGAGGUUGCUAGGUGUUGGGUUAAGGUCACUACAGUAUAAACUCAGUAUAGACCAGGUUAUGAGGUUGCUAGGUGUUGGGUUAAGGUCACUACAGUAUUAACUCAGUAUAGACCAGGUUAUGAGGUUGUAGGUGUUGGGUUAAGGUCACUACAGUAUAAACUCAGUAUAGACCAGGUUAUGAGGUUGCUAGGUGUUGGGUUAAGGUCACUACAGUAUUAACUCAGUAUAGACCAGGUUAUGAGGUUGCUAGGUGUUGGGUUAAGGCCACUACAGUAUAAACUCAGUAUAGACCAGGUUAUGAGGUUGCUAGGUGUUGGGUUAAGGUCACUACAGUAUAAACUCAGUAUAGACCAGGUUAUGAGGUUGCUAGGUGUUGGGUUAAGGUCACUUCAGUAUAGACCAGGUUAUGAGGUUGCUAGGUGUUGGGUUAAGGUCACUACAGUAUAAACUCAGUAUAGACCAGGUUAUGAGGUUGCUAGGUGUUGGGUUAAGGUCACUACAGUAUAAACUCAGUAUAGACCAGGUUAUGAGGUUGCUAGGUGUUGGGUUAAGGUCACUACAGUAUAAACUCAGUAUAGACCAGGUUAUGAGGUUGCUAGGUGUUGGGUUAAGGUCACUUCAGUAUAGACCAGGUUAUGAAGUUGCUAGGUGUUGGGUUAAGGUAACUACAGUAUUAACUCAGUAUAGACCAGGUUAUGAGGUUGCUAGGUGUUGGGUUAAGGUCACUACAGUAUUAACUCAGUAUAGACCAGGUUAUGAGGUUGCUAGGUGUUGGGUUAAGGCCACUACAGUAUAAACUCAGUAUAGACCAGGUUAUGAGGUUGCUAGGUGUUGGGUUAAGGUCACUACAGUAUAAACUCAGUAUAGACCAGGUUAUGAGGUUGCUAGGUGUUGGGUUAAGGUCACUUCAGUAUAGACCAGGUUAUGAGGUUGCUAGGUGUUGGGUUAAGGUCACUACAGUAUAAACUCAGUAUAGACCAGGUUAUGAGGUUGCUAGGUGUUGGGUUAAGGUCACUACAGUAUAAACUCAGUAUAGACCAGGUUAUGAAAUUGCUAGGUGUUGGGUUAAGGUCACUACAGUAUAAACUCAGUAUAGACCAGGUUAUGAGGUUGCUAGGUGUUGGGUUAAGGUCACUACAGUAUAAACUCAGUAUAGACCAGGUUAUGAG
RNAcentral lists this long non-coding RNA (2735 nucleotides) under Salmo salar (Atlantic salmon). RNAcentral's name for it is "lncRNA (ENSSSAG00000104351.1)". Lineage: Eukaryota; Metazoa; Chordata; Actinopteri; Salmoniformes; Salmonidae. The record is from RNAcentral.